ACGAUAUUAUAGCAGAUUCGUCAAUCAUUUUAUGAAUUUGGUGUUAAGGCCACUGCGGUGACGUAUCCGGUUGUCGUAACCCUGUAAUUUAUAAACCUUGAACUAUACAAGACUUUGAAAAUAGUGAAGAAAAUAAGUAGCAAUAUUUGAGUUUAGAGUAUUCAUGAGAGUUUUGGUGUUGCGGACAUAAAAUCCGAUCACAAUUUUUAAGCAUUUAAAAUGGCGGAUCCACAAAUUGUUUGGAUUUGCCCAAAACUUAUUCCUUGGGGAUUUUUGUGGUUGCUGAUUACGAUCGGAAAAAUACAGUCCUGUUCUUGGUUACAGAAUUUAGUCAAAUUUCGUCGUUUAAGUUUAAAUUAUAAUGGCAUACCACAUUAGAGCAGAAGGUCGGCCAAAAAUUACAUCAGCGGUUUAAGAGCGCCAAUUGUUUAUAUACUUGAGUAGCUUUUCAAAUCACUGACUUAUACGCAGUCACAUACAUGUCUGCAAAAUCAGUUAAAUGUUAAAUUUAAAUUAUUCAAACAUCUCAAAACCAAAAGGACUAAUUUACGCUGAAAGCUGCGUACGGACUGACUGGCAUGGCUAUAUCAACUCAGCUCAGACAAUCCUUCCUCGACUGAAAAUAUAAAAAUCUCAUCACGGCAAAUACUGUGGAUUUGGCAAAACGCAAUCAUAUUCUAAAUUAGCCCAGUACAUUCAAUAGAACUUGUAAAUUUAAGGAUAA
Long non-coding RNA from Ceratitis capitata (Mediterranean fruit fly), 724 nucleotides. RefSeq lists it as uncharacterized. The transcript has 5 exons. NCBI's taxonomy places the organism in Eukaryota, Metazoa, Arthropoda, Insecta, Diptera, Tephritidae. The record is from RefSeq and is a predicted model, not a curated record.